This 253-nucleotide ribosomal RNA is filed under the name uncultured bacterium. Its description in RNAcentral is "partial 16S ribosomal RNA". It matches the Rfam family "Bacterial small subunit ribosomal RNA", at positions 524 to 776 of the family's 1533-position model. The record is from RNAcentral.
UACAGGGGGGGCAAGCGUUGGUCGGAAUUACUGGGCGUAAAGGGUCUGUAGGUGGCCAACUAAGUCAGACGUGAAAUCCCUCAGCUUAACUGGGGAACUGCGUCUGAUACUGGAUGGCUUGAGUGUGGGAGAGGAAUGCGGAAUUCCAGGUGUAGCGGUGAAAUGCGUAGAUAUCUGGAGGAACACCGGUGGCGAAGGCGGCAUUCUGGACCAUAACUGACACUGAGAGACGAAAGCCAGGGGAGCAAACGGG